GAUGAACGCUGGCGGCGUGCCUAAUACAUGCAAGUCGAGCGAACAGAUGAGGAGCUUGCUCCUCUGACGUUAGCGGCGGACGGGUGAGUAACACGUGGCUAACCUACCUAUAAGACUGGGAUAACUUCGGGAAACCGGCGCUAAUACCGGAUAAUAUAUUGAACCGCAUGGUUCAAUAGUGAAAGACGGUUUUGCUGUCACUUAUAGAUGGAUCCGCGCCGCAUUAGCUAGUUGGUAAGGUAACGGCUUACCAAGGCAACGAUGCGUAGCCGACCUGAGAGGGUGAUCGGCCACACUGGAACUGAGACACGGUCCAGACUCCUACGGGAGGCAGCAGUAGGGAAUCUUCCGCAAUGGGCGAAAGCCUGACGGAGCAACGCCGCGUGAGUGAUGAAGGUCUUCGGAUCGUAAAACUCUGUUAUUAGGGAAGAACAAAUGUGUAAGUACCUAUGCACGUCUUGACGGUACCUAAUCAGAAAGCCACGGCUAACUUCGUG
Molecule: ribosomal RNA, 497 nt
Filed under: uncultured bacterium
Lineage: Bacteria
Description: partial 16S ribosomal RNA
Rfam family: Bacterial small subunit ribosomal RNA
Source: RNAcentral